UCGUAGGCACUACGAUUCAGGUGCCUUC
RNAcentral lists this small RNA (28 nucleotides) under Bombyx mori (domestic silkworm). RNAcentral's name for it is "ovarian small RNA-29140". Lineage: Eukaryota; Metazoa; Arthropoda; Insecta; Lepidoptera; Bombycidae. The record is from RNAcentral.